ACUCAGUGUUUCAUAUGCUCCCAAGAACACCUCAGUGUCCAUCAGUCCAUCAGGUCUGGUGUCAGCAGGUAGCUGGGUGAACCUGACCUGCUCCAGCAGAGCCAAGCCUCCUGUGAGCCGCUUCACCUGGUUCAAGACCAGCAGAGAUGGACCAAUCAAAGUAUCUGAAGGAGACUUUUACAGCUUCAUAGUCACUGAUGGAGGAGUUUAUUACUGUGUGGCCACCAAUCAGCUUGGUAAUCAAACAUCCUCAGAGAUCCAUCUGAGUACAGCAGGUGGAGUUAAUGAUCUACCAUUGGGAUCAGUUCUUGGAGGAAUCAUUGGGAUCAUCGUGCUCAUCGGCCUGGUUGUUUCUGUUUGGUCAGUAGCAUAAUUAUGAAAUGUGGUCUUUUUUUUGGUACUCUGUGUAUUAGACCCAACGUUUUGUCUUGCAGGCGUUUGAAGUCACCACAUCCAACUGCAGAGACAGUGACAACAGAAGAAGAAGGCGUCCACUAUGGAGAGAUUAACUUCUCGAGGCUCGGACCUGGACCGUCCUCUGUCCCUGAGCAGGACAGUGGACAGCAGCAGGAUACGCUGUAUGCGCAGGUCAAAGUGUCCCAGGCAGCAGACAACGUCACACGGACUGCUGACGUCCCCGAGGAUCUCUACGCUCAAGUGAAGACAAAAUGAGCCUUUUCCUCUGGUUACAUUUGUGUUGGAUUCUUCACAUGCUUUUUACAAACAUAACAAAAAACGAGCUUCAUCUGUUGAUUUAUGGAGAAAAAUAACCGUGAGAAAAUGUAAUCUUCACUGUUCACAGUUAAAGGGGAACUUCAAACCUCCACAGCCUUUAUACUUUUAACACAGUGAGGUUUGUGUUUAUCAGAUCAGUACAAAUUAAAGUCCCGUGGCUCUAAAUAGAGAAGUAGUCUAAAAGACAGCGCUCUUUAUAUGUCAACAUGUACAAUGAUAACAUUUGACCUUUUUGAUGUUUGUGGAAUUUUUACUUUGUUGUAUUUUCAAAGUUUCUUUAAACCUCCUUUAUUGAGCCAUUCAGUUCUUUUACAUCAACCACGUUUUAUUGUACUUUUUCCUCUUCAAAAUCAUUUACUGCAUAUGUAUUCAUUGCAAUGUAAUAAAAACCAUAUACACAACUUAAUCCCACUAGCAUUAUAUGGUCCAUAAUUUCACAUGUCUGUAAACAGCUUUUGAAAAUCUUUCUACUUAAAUCACAAACAUUCUAGCAGUGGCAGAACGAAUUAUAUGUAACAAUUGUGUGUAAAACUUUUCUGAAAAGAUAAUCUUUGGAUUUCAGCCUAAAAACAUUAUCAGCCCAAACGUUGAGUAAAUAAACAUCUCAAAAGGCACAACAAGGUUGUGUUGACUGUGUUUCAGUGAAUGGAGGCAGUGGCAUUAGCUUCAAACACCUCGAAUAUGACUUACGGAGAACAAAUUCCUUAAA
This is a long non-coding RNA of Pungitius pungitius (ninespine stickleback), 1444 nucleotides long. RefSeq lists it as uncharacterized. NCBI's taxonomy places the organism in Eukaryota, Metazoa, Chordata, Actinopteri, Perciformes, Gasterosteidae. The record is from RefSeq and is a predicted model, not a curated record. The transcript has 3 exons.